This 496-nucleotide ribosomal RNA is filed under the name uncultured bacterium. Its description in RNAcentral is "partial 16S ribosomal RNA". It matches the Rfam family "Bacterial small subunit ribosomal RNA", at positions 28 to 506 of the family's 1533-position model. The record is from RNAcentral.
GAUGAACGCUGGCGGCGUGCCUAAUACAUGCGAGUCGAGCGAACGGACGAGAAGCUUGCUUCUCUGAUGUUAGCGGCGGACGGGUGAGUAACACGUGGAUAACCUACCUAUAAGACUGGGAUAACUUCGGGAAACCGGAGCUAAUACCGGAUAAUAUUUUGAACCGCAUGGUUCAAAAGUGAAAGACGGUCUUGCUGUCACUUAUAGAUGGAUCCGCGCUGCAUUAGCUAGUUGGUAAGGUAACGGCUUACCAAGGCAACGAUGCAUAGCCGACCUGAGAGGGUGAUCGGCCACACUGGAACUGAGACACGGUCCAGACUCCUACGGGAGGCAGCAGUAGGGAAUCUUCCGCAAUGGGCGAAAGCCUGACGGAGCAACGCCGCGUGAGUGAUGAAGGUCUUCGGAUCGUAAAACUCUGUUAUUAGGGAAGAACAUAUGAGUAAGUAACUGUGCACAUCUUGACGGUACCUAAGCAGAAAGCCACGGCUAACUACGU